GAUGAAGAACGUAGCGAAAUGCGAUACGUAAUGUGAAUUGCAGAAUUCAGUGAAUCAUCGAGUCUUUGAACGCACAUUGCGCCCCCUGGUAUUCCGGGGGGCAUGCCUGUCCGAGCGUCAUUGCUGCCCUCAAGCACGGCUUGUGUGUUGGGCCUCCGUCCUCCUCCCGGGGGACGGGCCCGAAAGGCAGCGGCGGCACCGCGUCCGGUCCUCGAGCGUAGUAAUUUUUCUCGCUUUGGAGGCCCGGGCGCGUGCUUGCCAUCAACCCCCAAUUUUUUUCAGGUUGACCUCGGAUCAGGUAGGGAUACCCGCUGAACUUAAGCAUAUCAAUAAGCGGAGGA
This 341-nucleotide unclassified non-coding RNA is filed under the name soil metagenome. RNAcentral's name for it is "partial contains 5.8S ribosomal RNA, internal transcribed spacer 2, and large subunit ribosomal RNA". The stretch from base 1 to 120 matches the Rfam family "5.8S ribosomal RNA", at positions 35 to 154 of the family's 154-position model. The record is from RNAcentral.